This 440-nucleotide ribosomal RNA is filed under the name uncultured bacterium. RNAcentral describes it as "partial 16S ribosomal RNA". It matches the Rfam family "Bacterial small subunit ribosomal RNA", at positions 338 to 795 of the family's 1533-position model. The record is from RNAcentral.
CCUACGGGAGGCAGCAGUGGGGAAUAUUGCACAAUGGGGGAAACCCUGAUGCAGCAACGCCGCGUGAGUGAAGAAGUAUUUCGGUAUGUAAAGCUCUAUUAGCAGGGAAGAUAAUGACGGUACCUGACUAAUAAGCACCGGCUAACUACGUGCCAGCAGCCGCGGUAAUACGUAGGGGGCAAGCGUUAUCCGGAUUUACUGGGUGUAAAGGGAGCGUAGACGGGAUGGCAAGUCUGAAGUGAAAGCCCGGGGCUCAACCGCGGGACUGCUUUGGAAACUGUUAAGCUGGAGUGCGGGAGAGGUAAGUGGAAUUCCUGGUGUAGCGGUGAAAUGCGUAGAUAUUAGGAGGAACACCAGUGGCGAAGGCGGCUUACUGGACUGUAACUGACGUUGAGGCUCGAAAGCGUGGGGAGCAAACAGGAUUAGAUACCCUGGUAGUC